AUGGAGCAGAAUAGAGAGCCCAUAAAUAGAUCUUCAUAGAUCACUUGAGGCCCAGAGUUCUGGGUUGUAGUGCACUAUACCAACUGGGUGUCCAUACUAAGUUCAGCAUCAACAUGGUGACCUCCAGGUUGCCUAAGGAGGGGUGAACUGGCUCAGGUCAGAAACAGCAAAUCAAAACUCCUUUGCUGCUCAGUAGUGGAGUCACACCUGUGAAGAGCCACUACACUCCAGUCUGGACAACAUAGCAUGU
Unclassified non-coding RNA from Aotus nancymaae (Ma's night monkey), 250 nucleotides. It matches the Rfam family "Metazoan signal recognition particle RNA". From Rfam's summary of the family: The signal recognition particle (SRP) is a universally conserved ribonucleoprotein. It is involved in the co-translational targeting of proteins to membranes. The eukaryotic SRP consists of a 300-nucleotide 7S RNA and six proteins: SRPs 72, 68, 54, 19, 14, and 9. NCBI's taxonomy places the organism in Eukaryota, Metazoa, Chordata, Mammalia, Primates, Aotidae. The record is from Ensembl.